RNAcentral lists this small nucleolar RNA (68 nucleotides) under Trypanosoma cruzi. RNAcentral's name for it is "HACA small nucleolar RNA (snoRNA)". It matches the Rfam family "Trypanosomatid snoRNA TB11Cs4H1". The record is from RNAcentral. Lineage: Eukaryota; Euglenozoa; Kinetoplastea; Trypanosomatida; Trypanosomatidae.
UUAUCCUGCCCUGUCUGGCGCCCUGCCUGUACAAACGGUUGGUGGCGGGCCGCCAGCCGCAAGAGAGA